UACGUAGGGUGCAAGCGUUGUCCGGAAUUAUUGGGCGUAAAGAGCUCGUAGGCGGUUUGUCGCGUCUGCUGUGAAAUCCCGAGGCUCAACCUCGGGCUUGCAGUGGGUACGGGCAGACUAGAGUGCGGUAGGGGAGACUGGAAUUCCUGGUGUAGCGGUGGAAUGCGCAGAUAUCAGGAGGAACACCGAUGGCGAAGGCAGGUCUCUGGGCCGCAACUGACGCUGAGGAGCGAAAGCAUGGGGAGCGAACAGG
This 253-nucleotide ribosomal RNA is filed under the name uncultured bacterium. RNAcentral's name for it is "partial 16S ribosomal RNA". It matches the Rfam family "Bacterial small subunit ribosomal RNA", at positions 524 to 776 of the family's 1533-position model. The record is from RNAcentral.